Molecule: ribosomal RNA, 262 nt
Filed under: uncultured prokaryote
Description: partial 16S ribosomal RNA
Rfam family: Bacterial small subunit ribosomal RNA
Source: RNAcentral
UACGUAGGGUGCGAGCGUUGUCCGGAAUUACUGGGCGUAAAGAGCUCGUAGGCGGUUUGUCACGUCGUCUGUGAAAUCCUCCAGCUUAACUGGGGGCGUGCAGGCGAUACGGGCAGACUUGAGUACUACAGGGGAGACUGGAAUUCCUGGUGUAGCGGUGAAAUGCGCAGAUAUCAGGAGGAACACCGGUGGCGAAGGCGGGUCUCUGGGUAGUAACUGACGCUGAGGAGCGAAAGCAUGGGUAGCGAACAGGAUUAGAUAU